RNAcentral lists this ribosomal RNA (914 nucleotides) under uncultured archaeon. Its description in RNAcentral is "bacterial SSU rRNA". It matches the Rfam family "Archaeal small subunit ribosomal RNA", at positions 1 to 921 of the family's 1478-position model. The record is from RNAcentral.
UCCCUUGAUCCUGCCGGACCUAGACUGCUAUCGGAUUAGGUACUAAGCCAUGCGAGUCAGGUAGCAAUACUAGGCGGACGGCUCAGUAACACGUAGUCAACCUAACUCGUGGACGUGGAUAACCUCGGGAAACUGAGAAUAAACCACGAUAGAUCAUAGUGCCUGGAAUGGCUUAUGGUCCAAUACAGUUUACUGCCAUGGGAUGGGACUGCGGCAUAUCAGCUUGUUGGUGAGGUAAUGGCCCACCAAGGCGAUUACAGGUACGGGCUCUGAGAGGAGAAGCCCGGAGAUGGGUACUGAGACACGGACCCAGGCCCUGUGGGGCGCAGAAGGCGAGAAACCUUUAGCAAUGUGCGAAAGCACGACUGGCUCAGUCCGAGUGAUUCCUGAUAAAGGAGUCUUUUGCCUGUCCUAAAAGCACAGGUGAAUAAGGGGUGGGCAAGUCUUGUGUGAGCCGCCGCGGUAAAUACCAGCACCUCGAGUGGUCAGGACGUUUAUUGGGCCUAAAGCAUCCGUAGCCGGCUCUGCAAGUCUUCGGUUACAAUCCACCUGCUCAACAGAUGGGCCGCUGGAGUUACUACAGAGCUAGGGAGUGGGAGAGGCAGACGGUAUUCAGUGGGUAGGGGUAAAAUCCUCUGAUCCAUUGAGGACCACCAGUGGCGAAGGCGGUCUGCCAGCACACGUUCGACGGUGAGGGAUGAAAGCUGGGGGAGCAAACCGGAUUAGAUACCCGGGUAGUCCCCGCUGUAAACGAUGCAAACUCGGUGAUGCAUUGGCUUAGGCCAAUGCAGUGCCGCAGGGAAGCCGUUAAGUUUGCCGCCUGGGAAGUACGGACGCAAGUCUGAAACUUAAAGGAAUUGGCGGGGGAGCACCACAAGGGGUGAAGCCUGCGGUUCAAUUGGAUUCAACGCCGG